Molecule: long non-coding RNA, 379 nt
Filed under: Homo sapiens (human)
Lineage: Eukaryota; Metazoa; Chordata; Mammalia; Primates; Hominidae
Description: non-protein coding lnc-PWP2-4:1
Source: RNAcentral
CUCCCUGGGAGGCCACAGCCUGCCCUGGCCCAGCCCCUGGGACCGCGAGGGCCGUGUGAUACUUUCUCCAGUGGCAUUUACAGAAAACUUCCCUCUGCCCUACCAUUUUCGGCAGAGACUCUUGGAGCCUCUUCUUGAGGGGGACUCAACCUUGGGCUUCCAUGUGCAACCCUGCCGAGUCCAACGGAGCAGGAACCCAGAGUCAGGUCAGAGAGAAUCCCACCCCGAUGUCUGAGCUCCAGGAGCAGAUCAGACCUCAGUCCUCGACGCCUUCAGCAGGAUGCCCCGGCCCUGCCGCACCCUCCUGGUGAUUUUCCAGCCACGGACCCCCUCACUUCUCGGCUGUGAACCCCCCUUGUCCUGCUGCACCCAACAUAGA